UUCGGUGGCUAUAGCGGAGAGGAUCCACCCGUUCCCAUUCCGAACACGGAAGUUAAGCUCUUCAGCGCCGAUGGUACUGCAUGGGAGACUGUGUGGGAGAGUAGGUGCCGCCGGAA
RNAcentral lists this ribosomal RNA (116 nucleotides) under Deltaproteobacteria bacterium RBG_16_58_17. Lineage: Bacteria; Deltaproteobacteria. The record is from RNAcentral. RNAcentral also lists the same sequence under 4 other names.